This is a small nuclear RNA of Octodon degus (degu), 107 nucleotides long. The record is from Ensembl. NCBI's taxonomy places the organism in Eukaryota, Metazoa, Chordata, Mammalia, Rodentia, Octodontidae.
GUGCUCACUUCUGGAGUACAUAUAAUAAAAUAUAAAUCAUAUAGAGAUGAUUAACAUGUCCCUAGUGCAAGGAUGACAUGCAGAUUUAUGGAGUGUACCAUAUUUUU